RNAcentral lists this ribosomal RNA (492 nucleotides) under uncultured bacterium. RNAcentral's name for it is "partial 16S ribosomal RNA". It matches the Rfam family "Bacterial small subunit ribosomal RNA", at positions 30 to 507 of the family's 1533-position model. The record is from RNAcentral.
AUUGAACGCUGGCGGUAGGCCUAACACAUGCAAGUCGAACGGCAGCACAGUAAGAGCUUGCUCUUACGGGUGGCGAGUGGCGGACGGGUGAGGAAUACAUCGGAAUCUACUUUUUCGUGGGGGAUAACGUAGGGAAACUUACGCUAAUACCGCAUACGACCUACGGGUGAAAGCAUGGGAUCUUCGGACCUUGCGCGAUCGAAUGAGCCGAUGUCGGAUUAGCUAGUUGGCGGGGUAAAGGCCCACCAAGGCGACGAUCCGUAGCUGGUCUGAGAGGAUGAUCAGCCACACUGGAACUGAGACACGGUCCAGACUCCUACGGGAGGCAGCAGUGGGGAAUAUUGGACAAUGGGCGAAAGCCUGAUCCAGCCAUACCGCGUGGGUGAAGAAGGCCUUCGGGUUGUAAAGCACUUUUGUUGGGAAAGAAAAGCAGCAGGUUAAUACCCCGCUGUUCUGACGGUACCCAAAGAAUAAGCACCGGCUAACUUCGUG